GAUGAACGCUAGCGAUAGGCCUAACACAUGCAAGUCGAGGGGCAUCACAUGAAGUAGCAAUACGGAUGGUGGCGACCGGCGCACGGGUGAGUAACACGUAUGCAACCUGCCUUCAACAAGGGGAUAACCCGUUGAAAGACGGACUAAUACCCUAUAACACAGGGGUCCCGCAUGGGAAUAUUUGUUAAAGGACAACCGGUUGAAGAUGGGCAUGCGUUCCAUUAGCUAGUUGGCGGGGUAACGGCCCACCAAGGCAACGAUGGAUAGGGGAACUGAGAGGUUUAUCCCCCACACUGGUACUGAGACACGGACCAGACUCCUACGGGAGGCAGCAGUGAGGAAUAUUGGUCAAUGGACGCAAGUCUGAACCAGCCACGUCGCGUGAAGGAAGACGGCCCUACGGGUUGUAAACUUCUUUUAUACGGGAAUAAAGUGCCCCACGCGUGGGGUUUUGCAUGUACCGUAUGAAUAAGGAUCGGCUAACUCCGUGCCAGCAGCC
Molecule: ribosomal RNA, 499 nt
Filed under: uncultured bacterium
Lineage: Bacteria
Description: bacterial SSU rRNA
Rfam family: Bacterial small subunit ribosomal RNA
Source: RNAcentral